UAAUACGUAGGGUGCGAGCGUUAAUCGGAAUUACUGGGCGUAAAGCGUGCGCAGGCGGUUCGUUGUGUCUGUGGUGAAAGCCCCGGGCUUAACCUGGGAAUGGCCAUGGAAACUGGCGAGCUGGAGUCUGGCAGAGGGGGGUGGAAUUCCGCGUGUAGCAGUGAAAUGCGUAGAGAUGCGGAGGAACACCGAUGGCGAAGGCAGCCCCCUGGGUCAAGACUGACGCUCAGGCACGAAAGCGUGGGGAGCAAACAGGAUUAGAUACCCUGGUAGUCCACGCCCUAAACGAUGGCAACUGGGUGUUGGGGGAGCGAUCUCCUGGUACCGUAGCUAACGCGUGAAGUUGCCCGCCUGGGGAGUACGGCCGCAAGGUUA
Molecule: ribosomal RNA, 375 nt
Filed under: uncultured bacterium
Lineage: Bacteria
Description: bacterial SSU rRNA
Rfam family: Bacterial small subunit ribosomal RNA
Source: RNAcentral